RNAcentral lists this ribosomal RNA (411 nucleotides) under uncultured bacterium. Its description in RNAcentral is "bacterial SSU rRNA". It matches the Rfam family "Bacterial small subunit ribosomal RNA", at positions 8 to 433 of the family's 1533-position model. The record is from RNAcentral.
AGAGUUUGAUCCUGGCUCAGAAUCAACGCUGGCGGCGUGCCUAACACAUGCAAGUCGAACGAGAAAGUGGAGCAAUCCAUGAGUACAGUGGCGUACGGGUGAGUAACACGUGACUAACCUACCCUCGAGUGGGGAAUAACCUCGGGAAACCGGGGCUAAUACCGCAUAACAUCUUCGGAUCAAAUGCGUAAGCAGCUUGAGGAGGGGGUCGCGGCCGAUUAGCUAGUUGGCGGGGUAAUGGCCCACCAAGGCAAUGAUCGGUAGCCGGCCUGAGAGGGCGCACGGCCACACUGGAACUGAAACACGGUCCAGACUCCUACGGGAGGCAGCGGUGGGGAAUUUUGCGCAAUGGGGGAAACCCUGACGCAGCAACGCCGCGUGGAGGAUGAAGCCCCUUGGGGUGUAAACUCC